GGAUCGAGUCUAGAGUGUUUCAUUUAGGAUUGUUGCAUAUGCAUAAGGGAUAAUG
Molecule: small RNA, 55 nt
Filed under: Arabidopsis thaliana (thale cress)
Lineage: Eukaryota; Viridiplantae; Streptophyta; Magnoliopsida; Brassicales; Brassicaceae
Description: ATSL167870
Source: RNAcentral